AACUGCAGUCGAGCGGUUGACGGGAGCUUGCUCCGUGAUUCAGCGGCGGACGGGUGAGUAAUGCCUAGGAAUCUGCCUAUUAGUGGGGGACAACGUUUCGAAAGGAACGCUAAUACCGCAUACGUCCUACGGGAGAAAGCGGGGGACCUUCGGGCCUUGGGCUAAUAGAUGAGCCUAGGUCGGAUUAGCUAGUUGGUGAGGUAAUGGCUCACCAAGGCGACGAUCCGUAACUGGUCUGAGAGGAUGAUCAGUCACACUGGAACUGAGACACGGUCCAGACUCCUACGGGAGGCAGCAGGGGGGAAUAUUGGACAAUGGGCGAAAGCCUGAUCCAGCCAUGCCGCGUGUGUGAAGAAGGUCUUCGGAUUGUAAAGCACUUUAAGUUGGGAGGAAGGGUUGUAGAUUAAUACUCUGCAAUUUUGACGUUACCGACAGAAUAAGCACCGGCUAACUCUGUGCCAGCAGCCGCGGUAAUACAGAGGGUGCAAGCGUUAAUCGGAAUUACUGGGCGUAAAGCGCGCGUAGGUGGUUUGUUAAGUUGGAUGUGAAAGCCCCGGGCUCAACCUGGGAACUGCAUCCAAAACUGGCAAGCUAGAGUACGGUAGAGGGUGGUGGAAUUUCCUGUGUAGCGUGAAAUGGCGUAAAAAGUUGAAUUUGGG
This 659-nucleotide ribosomal RNA is filed under the name bacterium AK-25. Its description in RNAcentral is "bacterial SSU rRNA". It matches the Rfam family "Bacterial small subunit ribosomal RNA", at positions 50 to 712 of the family's 1533-position model. The record is from RNAcentral.